RNAcentral lists this unclassified non-coding RNA (312 nucleotides) under Bryoscyphus sp. Its description in RNAcentral is "partial contains 5.8S ribosomal RNA, internal transcribed spacer 2, and large subunit ribosomal RNA". The stretch from base 1 to 52 matches the Rfam family "5.8S ribosomal RNA", at positions 103 to 154 of the family's 154-position model. The record is from RNAcentral. Lineage: Eukaryota; Fungi; Ascomycota; Leotiomycetes; Helotiales; Helotiaceae.
AACGCACCUUGCGCCCUUUGGUAUUCCGAAGGGCAUGCCUGUUUGAGUGUCAUUAAAUUCUCAACCUUGCAAGCUUUUGUGCUAGUGAGGCUUGGAUGUGAGGGCUUUUGCUGGCUUCCUUCAUUGGAUGGUCUGCUCCCUUUAAAUUCAUUAGUGGAUUCCUUUGUGGAUGGUCACUUGGUGUGAUAAUUAUCUACGCCGCCUGACUCUGACACAAGACUUGUGGGGACCUGCUUAUAACCGUCUCUUUCAAGAGACAAUCUACAUUGACUAUUUGACCUCAAAUCAGGUAGGACUACCCGCUGAACUUAA